RNAcentral lists this long non-coding RNA (2327 nucleotides) under Malus domestica (apple). RNAcentral's name for it is "long non-coding RNA (MDOM_LNC008006)". Lineage: Eukaryota; Viridiplantae; Streptophyta; Magnoliopsida; Rosales; Rosaceae. The record is from RNAcentral.
UGUGUGUGUGCGUGAGAGGAAGAAACAGAGGAAGGAGAUUGGGCAGAAAUGCCCAAUCGGGACAAGAGAGAAGAAGGCAUCAGGAGGGAUUGAGAGAGGGAGAAGCCGACCAAUCGGAACAGAGGAAAGGAGGAAAGGAGAGAGGGCGAGAAACGGAGGAGAGAAGAUCAGAAAACGGGUUUUCCCCCAACCCGUUUACCCGCGACACCCACACCCAAUUUCCGGCGAUUUUCAAGGGAUUUCUCACAAAUUGGAUCAAGGUACCACUUCCAAUCAACACCUAGGCCUUCCCUCUUCAUGUUUCACCCAAAAAAUCAUGAAAUUUUGUGGUGAUGUCGCGAAGAACACCCACACGGGUGCUGCGACCUUCUUGUCCAAAUUCUUCAAAUCUUGAAAUGUUUUCUUUCAAUUACUAACACCAUUAGUAUUCCCUUAGGACCUAGAACAAAGCCCAAGCUUUGAUUUGGACGGUGGAGUUGAUUUGAAGGUCGAAUUGGAACUCACCCAAUUCUAGGGUCCGCACGGAAUUUGAUGAAUUUGAAGUGUUUCCAGGCCAAAUUGGCCUUGGCCACAGGUAUGAAAGUUUCUCUACUCAUUGAGAUCUUAGAUUCUGUAUUUUUUGAGAAUUUUUUAAAAUAGUUGGAUUUUUCGGCGAGCCGGGGCGGCCGACCGCCACCCGCAGCGGCCCAUGCGGCGGCGCGUGGCCAAUGGCCCGCCAAUGUCAUUCUUAGCAUGUGUUUAAGGUUCUAGGUUCAGUUUUGAUAAUUGUUGGACGUAAAUUGAGUAAUUGAACCUAAGUUUGUUACGAUUCGUGGUUAGGUAAAAAUGUGAAUUGAUGAUCCGACCGUUGGAUCGUCACCAAACUUUGACACGUUGUAAUACUUAAUAUUUGAGGAUUAUAGGAACCUACGGAUCUUUCAAAAUUAGAGUUGUAAGUUCAUAAUGUAGAAUGUUAACCGUCACUUGGUUUUGGAAAUUGACGGAGAUCCGACCGUUGGAUGGUAACGAAAUUUUAGGAUGAUGUCCUAGAGGUAUAUUGUGGACCUCUGGAAGUUAUGGAUUUGAAAUCUGAGUUGCAGAUCUUCCGGAUCGAACUACGUAGUGACGUGUCUUGUAUAAGUUAUAUAUUCUAUCGAUAUGAAUUCUGAGGUUGGAUUUGAUUAUCGUUCUAGGCGCUGAUCGUCACGACGCCUUGAUGUGUGGUGCUAGGGAGUUGUUGGGCGAACUCCAGGUGAGUGGGCAGUUUUUGUUUUUCGUAUUACCUAUAUGCUAUUAAUUGUCCCAGAAAUUGAAUUUAUAUGAAAGUAUGUUUUCAAUUGCCAUGAUGCAUAUUAUAAAUUAUAUGAAUUGAUAUUGAUGCAUAUAUAUAUGUGAAUUGGUGUUGUGGAUGCACAUGUGAGUUUAUAUGGUUUAUAUGAAUGAAUGAUGAUGUGAAUUAUGUUAAUAGCUCGUAACCUGCAUCCCUGGUGUUAGUGCUUAUGUUAUUCACCCUGCAUCACACGCUCACCUUGGAUCCAAGUAGAUGCUAGUCGUAGAGACCACUAGAGGUGGUUCCAACAUGCUAGUCGUAGAGACCACUAGAGGUGGUUCUGACAUGACAGUCGUACAGACCAUUAGAGGGGUUCCGACUGGUAGGUGACCUUAGAUUAUGUGCACAGAUGAUUAAUGAGAGAAGCACUAGAGCGUAUUAUUUCACCAUCUUAGUCGUACAGACUACUAUAGGUAGUUCCGACUUAUGUGCAGUGUAGUGUCGUACAGGUCACAGUUGGUGACUCCAGCAGGGCCGUACAGGUCACAGUUGGUGACUCCGGCUGGAUGGGAUAUUGAGCUAUAGAAUCAACCGUACAGGACCACUGUAGGGUCUCCGGUUGAUUUAUUAUUUCACCUUAAUUAUAUUGAUGCAUUCACAUUAUGUUUUGGCAUAUGGCUUGGCAUGGCAUAUUCUUUCUGAAAAGCGUUGAAGGAUUAUAAUUUGAGCUUUUGAUGAUAUAUAUAUAUAUAUAUGUUUAUAUAUUAUUAUGUUAUUUUCUAGGAAAGUAUACGGGUUUUAUAGCGAGGGGCUAGAAAUGUUUUAAAGGAAAUGUUUUCGAAAAACUUUGUUGUACUGACCCACUCAAUUUUGUUUUGCGCCCCUCCAGGUUCUAGUUAGCAGAGAUUUGGUGGCUACGAGGAAUCCAGCGGUGUUCUGACAGAAGUCACAAAAGUAGGACUCCCCCUCGGGUGUUUCAUCAUUGUAAUUGUAUUUUUUUAGCUUCCGAACUGUGUAAAUGGUUACGUCACACUCACGUGACGGCCAGCACGCCCUCCUUCGGGAUGGGGUGUGUCAG